AAGGAGUCUAAGGGCAGUUACAAUAAUACAUAUUGUACAUAUUCAUCAACUGCACACUUGGAACACAAACAUUCCUAGAACAUACCCAGCUUUGCAACACCAUAUACCACCACAUAUAUUAUACCUGAUGUAUGUCUACUGUCGCAAAGAUGUAAAACAAUCAACUUUGUAAUCUAUAUUGAUUAUUAUGUAACAUUGUUCAAG
This is a non-coding RNA of Pelobates cultripes (western spadefoot toad), 204 nucleotides long. Lineage: Eukaryota; Metazoa; Chordata; Amphibia; Anura; Pelobatidae. The record is from the annotation of a GenBank genome assembly.